RNAcentral lists this transfer RNA (65 nucleotides) under Glycera tesselata. RNAcentral describes it as "tRNA-Phe". It matches the Rfam family "tRNA". From Rfam's summary of the family: Transfer RNA (tRNA) molecules are approximately 80 nucleotides in length. The record is from RNAcentral. Lineage: Eukaryota; Metazoa; Annelida; Polychaeta; Phyllodocida; Glyceridae.
GUUUUGAUAGCUUAAUUUAAAGCAUAACAUUGAAAAUGUUAAUAUAAGAACAAUCUUUCAAAACA